GAUGAAUAACGUAGCGAAAUGCGAUACGUAAUGUGAAUUGCAAAUUCAGUGAAUCAUCGAGUCUUUGAACGCACAUUGCGCCCCCUGGUAUUCCGGGGGGCAUGCCUGUCCGAGCGUCAUUGCUGCCCUCAAGCACGGCUUGUGUGUUGGGCCCCGUCCUCCGAUCCCGGGGGACGGGCCCGAAAGGCAGCGGCGGCACCGCGUCCGGUCCUCGAGCGUAUGGGGCUUUGUCACCCGCUCUGUAGGCCCGGCCGGCGCUUGCCGAUCAACCCAAAUUUUUAUCCAGGUUGACCUCGGAUCAGGUAGGGAUACCCGCUGAACUUAAGCAUAUCAAUAAGCGGAGGA
RNAcentral lists this unclassified non-coding RNA (345 nucleotides) under soil metagenome. Its description in RNAcentral is "partial contains 5.8S ribosomal RNA, internal transcribed spacer 2, and large subunit ribosomal RNA". The stretch from base 1 to 119 matches the Rfam family "5.8S ribosomal RNA", at positions 35 to 154 of the family's 154-position model. The record is from RNAcentral.